Molecule: microRNA precursor, 76 nt
Filed under: Canis lupus familiaris (dog)
Lineage: Eukaryota; Metazoa; Chordata; Mammalia; Carnivora; Canidae
Description: miRNA (ENSCAFG00000058651.1)
Source: RNAcentral
CGGCCCUCGGAUUCUGGGAACCGGUUCUGCUGCUGUGUCAUUUUGUACCAGCCCCUCCUUUCAUUGCUGCCCGCCG